GGUGAACGCUGGCGGCGUGCUUGACACAUGCAAGUCGAACGGUAUGUGGCAACACAUAGAGUGGCGAACGGGUGAGUAACACGUGGGAACGUACCUUCUGCAGGGGGAUAACUGACCGAAAGGACAGCUAAUACCGCAUAAGACCGAGAGGAGAAAGGUGCAACAGCAUCGGCAGAGGAGCGGCCCGCGGACCAUCAGCUAGUUGGUGGGGUAAGAGCCUACCAAGGCAACGACGGAUAGCCGGCGUGAGAGCGUGGCCGGCCACAAGGACACUGAGAUACGGGUCCUACUCCUACGGGAGGCAGCAGUGCGGAAUUUUAGAUAAUGGAGGCAACUCUGAUCUAGCGACGCCGCGUGCAGGAAGAAGGUCUUCGGAUUGUAAACUGCUGUGGUAAGGGAAAAAUGCCAUGUAGAGUGGAAAGCUACAUGGAGGGAUGGUACUUUACUAGAAAGCCCCGGCUAACUACGUGCCAGCAGCCGCGGUAAUACGUAGGGGGCGAGCGUUACCCGGAAUCACUGGGCGUAAAGGGAGCGUAGGUGGCCUGACAUGUCGACUGUGAAAACCCGGAGCUCAACUCCGGACUUGCAGUUGAAACUGCCAGGCUUGAGGACGGUAGAGGAAGACGGAACUGCCAGUGUAGGGGUAAAAUCCUUAGAUAUUGGCAGGAACGCCGGUGACGAAGGUGGUUUUCUGGGCCGGUUCUGACACUGAUGCUCGAAAGCCAGGGGAGCGAACGGGAUUAGAUACCCCGGUAGUCCUGGCCCUAAACGAUGUUCACUAGGUGUGGGGAGCGGAAAGCUUUCCGUGCUAAAGCUAACGCGAUAAGUGAACCGCCUGGGGAGUACGCCCGCAAGGGUGAAACUCAAAGGAAUUGACGGGGGCCCGCACAAGCGGUGGAGCGUGUGGUUUAAUUCGAUGCUAAGCGAAGGACCUUACCAAGGUUUGACAU
This 950-nucleotide ribosomal RNA is filed under the name uncultured bacterium. Its description in RNAcentral is "bacterial SSU rRNA". It matches the Rfam family "Bacterial small subunit ribosomal RNA", at positions 28 to 987 of the family's 1533-position model. The record is from RNAcentral.